AUUGAACGCUGGCGGCAUGCCUUACACAUGCAAGUCGAACGGCAGCGGACCUUCGGGUGCCGGCGAGUGGCGAACGGGUGAGUAAUAUAUCGGAACGUACCUUUCAGUGGGGGAUAACGUAGCGAAAGUUACGCUAAUACCGCAUAUUCUGUGAAGCAGGAAAGCAGGGGAUCGCAAGACCUUGCGCUGAUUGAGCGGCCGAUAUCAGAUUAGCUAGUUGGUGAGGUAAAGGCUCACCAAGGCGACGAUCUGUAGCGGGUCUGAGAGGAUGAUCCGCCACACUGGAACUGAGACACGGUCCAGACUCCUACGGGA
Molecule: ribosomal RNA, 315 nt
Filed under: uncultured bacterium
Lineage: Bacteria
Description: bacterial SSU rRNA
Rfam family: Bacterial small subunit ribosomal RNA
Source: RNAcentral